GGAAACACAGACUAAUAUGAUUGUAAGAUAACAUUCAGCUUAACACACAGAAAAAGGACAGCAAUAACAUAUAUGCAGAGUUCAAAGAAUGAAAUUGAUACAGAAUAUACAAUGACAUGUAAAUGGCUGUACUGAGAUGAAACCGCUAUUGACUAAAAACGAUUUGCUGAGACAGGCUGGGAAUAUAUUUGGUGUCAUCGGAUUGUGCAAGGACGAUUUUACAGCCAGAAAACAAACAUCUGCGAUUCCUGUAAAACAGAAAUGAAAAUUCACAGACGGUCGCUGGCAGCAAACAUGCACUGAAAAGACUGUCCUAGUGGGUAUUUCGGUAUCAACUGUGAGAACAGCUGUACUGUGUACUGUGGUAGAAAUGGUAGUUGUGACCGAGCCACCGGAAUAUGUGAUGGAGGAUGUAAGGAGGGGUGAAGCGGGCCUUUCUGUGGUACUGAAGAAAGGCCAUUAUCGAACGCCACGUACACUGCAGACGAUAACAUUGUCAUCAUAUUAAGCCUGGUAUUAUUGGUUUUCGUUGUGAUCACCGGAAGUGCCGUAAAGAACAAGGGUUUGGGCUCCAAGUGAAAUCAUCGAUAUUUUGGGCCAAAUGACUUUAGAAACUGUACCUACUUCUUUCCUGAUAUGGAAGAGAAAUCAGAAUCAGAGUAACUGUCUAAUAAGCUUACCAUUUCCCUGGUGUAUAUAAGGACGUCUUCUACUAAUUCCUGAUUAAAAGAAAACUCCGGAAAUCAACCUGGAUCAGUUCAUAUCUCAGGUAGAAAGUUUCUACAUCACCCCCGCCAAAAAAAAACUACAACAAAAACACAUUAAACUGAUUUGACCUUCAACAAACCGUUUGGAAAGUUUUAUUAAUAAACAAUAUUCAUUUGCAUUCACGUUUACUUGAUAUAUCCCGGUGAACUCGAAAUGAAAGACAUCACAACAUAUUUCAUUGUAGGAUAUUUCAAGUGUUAAACAUAGGCAUUAGCGGCUAAAUUCAUAAAUUAAAUUUUAUGGCAAACGCCUCCAUCGUAAGUUUUUCAUACCCUUGUAGUGAUAUUCCAUUCUAACUGUGGUGAGUAUGCUUAUCAACUGAUUUGAGACGUGAUAACAUGUUCUACGGAUGAUCAAUUUUUAAAAUAGACUGGUUACCAACUUGUAAGUUGGUGUUAGAUGGGUUUUAACAGUCUCGUGUAAGGUCGGCAAAUCACAAAGGCUAAGGUAUUAUCUAAUUAGCAAAUUCAACCUGCUCUUGCUUCGAAUAUUCUCUUAACAUGUUUCAGUUGCUGAGCGGGUGUAACCGGUCAAAAUGGGAUGUAUAUUCCACGUAGACACCUGAUCUCAUAUCUAAUGUUUCCAUGUUUGUCAAACUUUUGAUUUUUUUUUUGUAUUCUUUAUAGCAUUUAUAAUAUAAGAAAGAAAAACAAUGACCAUUAUGUUUGUUAAACAGUGUGUUGACUGUACUCUCUUCUUCUAAAGGAUAUACACUGAUGCAUUUCGCGACAAGCACUCUUUUAUUUACCAAAUUGCAAUUUAAUUCUAACUGGGAAUGCUAACCGGACAACAUGACUGUGAUGUUUACACCGCAUGCGAUGAAGAUAUAUUAGUAUAUGUCAUGAUAAAAGUGGUUGACAUGCUGAUUUGCGGAUUCUGGGAACCCCAAACUCUAUAGACUUUUCUUCCCGGAGUUCAUUGUUUUUUGUUGUUUUUUUUAUUUUAUCGAUCAAUAUAUAUUCAAUCCUUACAUGCUUUACCCAGAAUUUCACUUUUAACGUGGGUGAACAAAAAGUAUGUAAAAUCGCCACCUACAUUAGUUUUUUUUAUCAUUUUUAUUUUGAUUUGCCAUUAUCUAGCAAUUUUGCACCACAGUGUUUGAACAUCAUUAACCAUAGUUGCCACUCCAAUUUGUCCCUGCAGAUAUAGCAAACAAUACAGAUCAGUAGGUAUGCAUUGAUUCUUGUAAAGACCUAAGUCAAUAUUUAAGAGUUUUAUGUACAAGCAGAAACUACCCAAAACUACUAUUUGACCCAUACAUCAUGGUUUGUAAUAUAUUCCUCCCACAAUUUUAACUUGUUAUAUAACAUUAUGUUGACGUCAUGUACGUGCAUAAAUACUAUUAAAAAGAUUUAUAAGCAAUGUGUAAUUUACAGAAAAUGUGAAAAAUUUGAUAGUAUCUUGCGUCACGUUUAUUAUUCUAUAAGAGGGAUGGACCCCCGUAUGAAGAACUCGGAGACACAAACAAGUCGAACAUGUACGAGGAACUCUACCAUUAUACCGAAGCUGCUGGAAAACAUUAAGAUGAAAUGACUGAACUUUAUAACCAGGUUUUCAUUUUUAACUUAGAAUUAGUAUACAUGCAUAUGUACCAUGUAUAGUCUACAUAUAUGUAUAAUGUAUCCAUUAAAAAUGUUUGUGUCA
Ostrea edulis (European flat oyster) is the source of this 2412-nucleotide long non-coding RNA. RefSeq lists it as uncharacterized. The transcript is spliced from 5 exons. NCBI's taxonomy places the organism in Eukaryota, Metazoa, Mollusca, Bivalvia, Ostreida, Ostreidae. The record is from RefSeq and is a predicted model, not a curated record.